Molecule: ribosomal RNA, 467 nt
Filed under: uncultured bacterium
Lineage: Bacteria
Description: partial 16S ribosomal RNA
Rfam family: Bacterial small subunit ribosomal RNA
Source: RNAcentral
GAUGAACGCUGGCGGCGUGCUUAACACAUGCAAGUCGAACGGAAAGGCUCCUGCUUGCAGGGGUACUCGAGUGGCGAACGGGUGAGUAACACGUGGGUGAUCUGCCCUGCACUUCGGGAUAAGCCUGGGAAACUGGGUCUAAUACCGGAUAGGACCACAUUUUGGAUGGUGUGGUGGAAAGUUUUUCGGUGUGGGAUGAGCUCGCGGCCUAUCAGCUUGUUGGUGGGGUAAUGGCCUACCAAGGCGUCGACGGGUAGCCGGCCUGAGAGGGUGUACGGCCACAUUGGGACUGAGAUACGGCCCAGACUCCUACGGGAGGCAGCAAGGGGGAAUAUUGCACAAUGGGCGCAAGCCUGAUGCAGCGACGCCGCGUGGGGGAUGACGGCCUUCGGGUUGUAAACUCCUUUCGCUAGGGACGAAGCGUUUUUGUGACGGUACCUGGAGAAGAAGCACCGGCUAACUACGUG